AAUGUGACAUCAAUGUGUGACAUUAAACUUGCAUAAUGUCAAAAUUAAAAAUCAUCAGCACAUUUGACAAAUUUCAAUAAAAUUAAUAGCGAAUACGUAACACCAUGAGUAAAGGAUAAUAUAUCUGAGCUGGAUAUAAGAAAAAUCUUUUUUGAAAAUCGACAAUAUAUUGAUGUUAUCUGUGUUGGAUGUUGGAGCAUAAAAGAAAUAAAAUGUUGACGUUUUGGAAAACAAUUUAAGGGACAUGGAAAACAUAAAUGUUAUCUUCAAGAACUCCAGUCCGUUUCUUUACUUCGUAACAGGACUUCUUCUUCUCUUCGUUUAUUUGAGAGGGAUGAACUGGAGCGGUAUUAUUAGUCCGGAGGAAGUAGACUUGGGUUCAGUGAGAGUUUUGAAAAGAACAAGUCGAAACAAACGCAAUGAAACAACUCAUUAAAAUUUAAUUUAAAAUUAA
Papilio polytes (common Mormon) is the source of this 454-nucleotide long non-coding RNA. RefSeq lists it as uncharacterized. The transcript has 2 exons. The record is from RefSeq and is a predicted model, not a curated record. NCBI's taxonomy places the organism in Eukaryota, Metazoa, Arthropoda, Insecta, Lepidoptera, Papilionidae.